CCAACUGUCCUUGCCCUAGGCAGGGGACCAUGUUAGUUAUUUUGGGCUCUUUCCUAUCCUUUGGGGAACACAGAGUUUAGUGAAAAGAAUUCUUCUGAAGUGUGGUGUACAUGCCCAGUUCUAUUUCUAAGGCUUAGGAGGGAGUGGAAGGGAGAAGGUCCUGGCUCACGAGCAUCUGUGAAACCCACUGCUAAUGUAAAUGCAUCUCUUGAAAAUGUGCAUGUAGCCUAUGUGGAGGAACGUUACUUUGGAUUUUUGUUCAGUUUUUUUGUGAAUCCAGGUAUUCCUGAUCCAUGGGCAGUCAGUGCAUAGGAAUCCUCCAGGACUCACACUGCAAGUACAGAAUGUGGGAGGAGAGAGGUGCUGAAGCCCACCAUCACAAGAGCCUGUGACUUGGGCACACACCCUCCUGCAUAGACUCCCUCGUCUUCCAAGACAGGGAGCCAAACUGAUUGGCAUCUGUCACUGCAGGAGAUGGUGGCUUAGAAAUGGACAUGCUAGGGGACCUUGAGUCCCUGCAGUUUGAGUAUGGGAUUCAAGAGGAAGAUCGCAGCUGGCUCUAUUUGCAGGGCCGUUCUCGAGGGCUGAUGAUCAAGGCCUGUGCCCAUGCAACCUUCUUCUGCAAGCUACUCUGUAACUUGAGAGAAUCAUUCCAUGAGAAGCAGACUUCCAGCUGUCCCUUGACUGGAUUGCUUACUGGCAUUCCCGAUGAUGAUGAGUUAAAGGUGGGCAUCAUUGGAGGUGGUCACCUUGGGAAGCAACUGGCUCGUGUACUGCUUCAGCUUGUCCCCAUCCCUGCUGAGAACCUGAGGAUCUCCACUCGGAGGCCAGAGGCCCUGGAUGAGUUCCAGAAACUGGGAAUCCAGUGUUUUUACCAUAACCCUUAUCUGGUGGACUGGGCCAACGUGCUGUUCCUCUGCUGCCUGCCCUCUCAGCUGCCUAAUAUCUGCCUAGAAAUUCAAACCCGCCUGGAGAAAGGUUGCAUCGUGUACAGCUUCGUGGCUGCCGUCCCAGUAGCCAGGUUGAAACUCCUACUGAACCACACCAAUAUCUUGCGGCCUCAGUAUCAGUGUGUUGAAAAUUUUGUCAACAUCUGGGGGGCCAACAAGGACAUCACAGCUGCCCUCCAAGAUCCUAUGAUUCUUCAGGCUACCUGUCCCUACAGUCCUGCUGGGGGAAUAAUCCUCAAUAUCAAGUGGUUGGAGGGAGUGUUAUACGCGGUCCUAAACAUCUGCACCGCAAGGGACAUGCCUCACUUACAAGUGCUGCAGCUUCUGAAUGAACUGUUACUCUCUGUGCACUUUGAAGACUGUGAUAAAGAUGGAGCAUCUUGCCCCAAAUUUCAAUUACAUGAUUUUGUCAGCCAAAUCUAUAGCAAGAACCUAUCUCAGCGAAGGCCUUUCCCCUGGUUUGAUCUGACUGCUGUGCAACUCAAGGAAACACCCUUUGGUCAGCAUCUCUCAGCCAGUACUGCUCUCCAGGACCACCUUACCUAUCGAUACUGUGAUUCAUUUGGUAUCUCCCUACCCCAAGGACAGCAGCCAGGGGUUUCCACAAGGCUCUGACUCUCAAUAAGAGAAGAGACCUCGGGAAUCAGAAUUUUUUUCCCUCCACAAUGCUUGUACCCUGAUUAUCACAAUUGACACUGGGAGUCAUUUGAAGAAGUCACCUG
RNA transcript from Callorhinus ursinus (northern fur seal), 1672 nucleotides. It is a transcript of the gene named NADP dependent oxidoreductase domain containing 1, with no coding region annotated. NCBI's taxonomy places the organism in Eukaryota, Metazoa, Chordata, Mammalia, Carnivora, Otariidae. The record is from RefSeq and is a predicted model, not a curated record.